This is a long non-coding RNA of Acanthopagrus latus (yellowfin seabream), 615 nucleotides long. RefSeq lists it as uncharacterized. Lineage: Eukaryota; Metazoa; Chordata; Actinopteri; Spariformes; Sparidae. The record is from RefSeq and is a predicted model, not a curated record. The transcript is spliced from 3 exons.
CGCACUUUUUAACACAAAGACACUCUGACCUGUCACAGGUGUACAUAAUGAAACGAAAAUACUGAAUUUGGCUCACAGUCCCAGCAUUAAUGUUACUGAAAAUAACUGAUUUUCCUGCAUCUACUGCUGUGAAAAGGGCCUAUUACACUGUCAUACAAAGUAAGUUAGCUGUCUUCCAGGGUCGGGCUAACAGCCUGCUGGCAUAAAUGUUUUGUCAUCACUGCUUAGCUUAAAAGCUUUAUCACUGUUAUAUUCUUUUCUCUUUCUCGUUUUCCUUUUUUUUCACUGGUUGGGAUCAGCUAACCACAGCCUGGAAUACUGUGGCUUUAUGCAGCGAAAAUGGCUAACAAGGUAGCAAACAACUGCUUAAGUCACAGACAUAAGAUGAGCUAGCCGUUAUUGAUUCCUCGGGGGGUGAAUUCUGGUGUUACAGCGGCACAAAGACAGAAAUAAGCACAGCCACUUGGAGGAACCUACUGUAUUCUGGUCCCCUGAUGUAUGUAAGCCAUCGAUACCUGGCACACCACCAAGUCCCUGUUAGACGAUUGGAAACACAUAAUUAAUACCGGAGCACCUGUCAACCCUAUGCUGCCUGUAUCACCCUGCAAACAGAAG